CUCAAAGAUCAUCCAGUUCCAACUCCCUGCCCACCAGGCGAUGCUUGAUGAUGCAUUUUAGAGCAUGACUUUGCUUAUCUUUGUGUAUUAUUCCUUGACUCACUGCUCCAUUAGACACCAAACAAAAGCACAGCAUGCUCCGGUGACUCUGCAAGAUGAAAGAGCUCAGCUUCAGGUUAGCCAGAAAUAGCAGUGAGGAUUGCAGGCUGACGGCGCGAGGAUAAGGGGAGGGCAGUGCAGAAGCCUGGG
Molecule: long non-coding RNA, 249 nt
Filed under: Gallus gallus (chicken)
Lineage: Eukaryota; Metazoa; Chordata; Aves; Galliformes; Phasianidae
Description: long non-coding RNA NONGGAT004948
Source: RNAcentral